This is a small nucleolar RNA of Phodopus roborovskii (desert hamster), 132 nucleotides long. RefSeq annotates it as small nucleolar RNA SNORA42/SNORA80 family. NCBI's taxonomy places the organism in Eukaryota, Metazoa, Chordata, Mammalia, Rodentia, Cricetidae. The transcript has a single exon. The record is from RefSeq and is a predicted model, not a curated record.
GCAUGGAUUUGGAUUUAUGGCAGGUUUGUCACCAUGGGCCUCUCAUAGUGUCCCAUGCUAGAGCAAACUGGCUCCUAACCAUUGCCUGGCCUCUGCCUGUGGGCUGCUGGCACUGAAGGGAGUCACACAGGA